This 148-nucleotide non-coding RNA is filed under the name Gorilla gorilla gorilla (western lowland gorilla). Lineage: Eukaryota; Metazoa; Chordata; Mammalia; Primates; Hominidae. The record is from Rfam by way of RNAcentral.
GCUGGGUGUGGUGGUGCAUGCCUGUAAUCCUAGCUACUCAGGAGGCUGAGGCAGGAGAAUUGCUUGAACCCGGGAGGUGGACGUUGCAGUAAGCCGAGAUUGCACCACUGCACUCCAGCCUGGGUGACACAGCAAGACUCUGUCUCAA